UGCCGCGUGUGUGAAGAAGGCCUUCGGGUUGUAAAGCACUUUCAAUAGGGAGGAAAAGCUAUGCGUUAAUAGCGUAUAGCCGUGACGUUACCUAUAGAAGAAGCACCGGCUAACUCCGUGCCAGCAGCCGCGGUAAUACUGGAGGGUGCAAGCGUUAAUCGGAAUUACUGGGCGUAAAGCGCGCGUAGGCGGUUUGUUAAGUCAGAUGUGAAAUCCCCGGGCUCAACCUGGGAAUGGCAUUUGAGACUGGUAGGCUAGAAUGUGGUAGAGGUGAGUG
RNAcentral lists this ribosomal RNA (277 nucleotides) under uncultured Methylophaga sp. RNAcentral's name for it is "partial 16S ribosomal RNA". It matches the Rfam family "Bacterial small subunit ribosomal RNA", at positions 395 to 663 of the family's 1533-position model. The record is from RNAcentral. Lineage: Bacteria; Pseudomonadati; Pseudomonadota; Gammaproteobacteria; Thiotrichales; Piscirickettsiaceae.